GUAGUUAUGUAUUUUUUGAAGUUUCUAAAAAAAUAUUGAAAAAGUUUCAUAAAAAUUUCAAAAUAAAAGUAAAAAGAAAAUAAAUUAGCCUGGAAAAUGUAAAAAGAUUGGAUAUAGGGCCGAUAAAUAAGGUUUAAGGUCACUAUCAGCAGUUCAAAUGACCAUUUGGAAGCCAAGAAUAGUCAGAAUCAAAGAUUAUAUUACAAAUAACGAUCAUUAUUUCAUAAUCGUUGCAAUUACAACAGGUUUUCUUUCGAUGGACUUCUAUUGGAUAAACUUCUUCCAAAAUAAUCUAAUGGUUAUCGAUCUGAUUAUGUUUGACUCAGCCAAGAAAUUUGCAACACGAAAACCACUAAGAAUAUCCCACAUAUAGGAGAUGAGAAUGGAGGUGUACAUUUUAUUACUUUAUUUUAAAAUUUCUGUGUUUUUUAUUUUUCUGU
Molecule: long non-coding RNA, 440 nt
Organism: Lucilia sericata (common green bottle fly)
Lineage: Eukaryota; Metazoa; Arthropoda; Insecta; Diptera; Calliphoridae
Exons: 3
Source: RefSeq, a predicted model, not a curated record